GGCCAACGGGGAGCUACCAUGCAGUCGUGGGGCAGCACGGUGUAGCAAUACACUGGUGGCGACCGGCGCACGGGUGAGUAACGCGUAUGCAACCUGCCCUGUACAGGGGGAUAGCCCGGAGAAAUUCGGAUUAAUACCCCAUAAAGAUAUCGAGAGGCAUCUUUUGAUAUUUAAAGCUUCGGCGGUACGGGAUGGGCAUGCGUGACAUUAGCUAGUUGGUAGGGUAACGGCCUACCAAGGCUUCGAUGUCUAGGGGUCCUGAGAGGGUGAUCCCCCACACUGGUACUGAGACACGGACCAGACUCCUACGGGAGGCAGCAGUGAGGAAUAUUGGUCAAUGGGCGACAGCCUGAACCAGCCAUCCCGCGUGAAGGAAGAAGGCGCUAUGCGUUGUAAACUUCUUUUCCAGAGGAAUAAAAUUUCGUACGUGUACGGAACUGAAGGUACCCUGGGAAUAAGCAUCGGCUAACUCCGUGCCAGCAGCCGCGGUAAUACGGAGGAUGCGAGCGUUAUCCGGAUUCAUUGGGUUUAAAGGGUGCGUAGGCGGACUUAUAAGUCAGUGGUGAAAACCUGCAGCUUAACUGUAGACGUGCCAUUGAUACUGUUAGUCUUGAGUAUGGUCAAGGUAGGCGGAAUGUGUAAUGUAGCGGUGAAAUGCUUAGAUAUUACACAGAACACCGAUUGCGAAGGCAGCUUACUGGGCCAUUACUGACGCUGAUGCACGAAAGCGUGGGGAGCGAACAGGAUUAGAUACCCUGGUAGUCCACGCCGUAAACGAUGAUCACUCGCUGUUGGCGAUACACAGUCAGCGGCUAAGCAAAAGCAUUAAGUGAUCCACCUGGGGAGUACGGCCGCAAGGCUGAAACUCAAAGGAAUUGACGG
Molecule: ribosomal RNA, 882 nt
Filed under: uncultured Bacteroidota bacterium
Lineage: Bacteria; Pseudomonadati; Bacteroidota
Description: bacterial SSU rRNA
Rfam family: Bacterial small subunit ribosomal RNA
Source: RNAcentral